Molecule: ribosomal RNA, 484 nt
Filed under: uncultured bacterium
Lineage: Bacteria
Description: partial 16S ribosomal RNA
Rfam family: Bacterial small subunit ribosomal RNA
Source: RNAcentral
AUUGAACGCUGGCGGCAGGCCUAACACAUGCAAGUCGAGCGGAUGAAGGGAGCUUGCUCCUGGAUUCAGCGGCGGACGGGUGAGUAAUGCCUAGGAAUCUGCCUUGUAGUGGGGGAUAACGUCCGGAAACGGGCGCUAAUACCGCAUACGUCCUGAGGGAGAAAGUGGGGGAUCUUCGGACCUCACGCUAUCAGAUGAGCCUAGGUCGGAUUAGCUAGUUGGUGGGGUAAAGGCCUACCAAGGCGACGAUCCGUAACUGGUCUGAGAGGAUGAUCAGUCACACUGGAACUGAGACACGGUCCAGACUCCUACGGGAGGCAGCAGUGGGGAAUAUUGGACAAUGGGCGAGAGCCUGAUACAGCCAUGCCGCGUGUGUGAAGAAGGUCUUCGGAUUGUAAAGCACUUUAAGUUGGGAGGAAGGGCAGUAAGUUAAUACCUUGCUGUAUUGACGUUACCAACAGAAUAAGCACCGGCUAACUUCGUG